Molecule: unclassified non-coding RNA, 377 nt
Filed under: uncultured fungus
Lineage: Eukaryota; Fungi
Description: partial contains 5.8S ribosomal RNA and internal transcribed spacer 2
Rfam family: 5.8S ribosomal RNA (bases 1-133)
Source: RNAcentral
UGGCUCUCGCAUCGAUGAAGAACGCAGCGAAAUGCGAUAAGUAAUGUGAAUUGCAGAAUUCAGUGAAUCAUCGAAUCUUUGAACGCACCUUGCGCUCCUUGGUAUUCCGAGGAGCAUGCCUGUUUGAGUGUCGUGAAAUUCUCAACUCCCUAGAUUUCUUAAUGAAGUCUGGUGGGGCUUGGACUUGGAGGUUGUGUUGGCUCUAGCUAGUUGACUCCUCUUAAAUACAUUAGCGUGAAUCUUUACGAAUCGCCUUCAGUGUGAUAAUUAUCUGCGCUGUGGUGUUGAAGUAUCUUGAUAGUUCAUGCUUCUAAUCGUCUCUCACGAGACAAUUACUUUGACAAUCUGGCCUCAAAUCAGGUAGGACUACCCGCUGA